CCUACCAAGACUAUGAUGUGUAGCUGGACUGAGAGGUUGAACAGCCACAUUGGGACUGAGACACGGCCCAAACUCCUACGGGAGGCAGCAGUAGGGAAUUUUCGGCAAUGGAGGAAACUCUGACCGAGCAACGCCGCGUGAACGAUGAAGUACCUCGGUAUGUAAAGUUCUUUUAUUAAGGAAGAAAAAAGAGUGGAAAAACUCCCUUGACGGUACUUAAUGAAUAAGCCCYGGCUAAUUAUGUGCCAGCAGCCGCGGUAAUACAUAAGGGGCGAGCGUUAUCCGGAAUUAUUGGGCGUAAAGGGUGCGUAGGCGGUUUAAUAAGUCUAUAGUUUAAUUUCAGUGCUUAACGCUGUUGUGCUAUAGAAACUGUUUUACUAGAGUGAGUUAGAGGCAAGCGGAAUUCCAUGUGUAGCGGUAAAAUGCGUAAAUAUAUGGAGGAACACCAGAGGCGUAGGCGGCUUGCUGGGACUUUACUGACGCUGAGGCACGAAAGCGUGGGGAGCAAACAGGAUUAGAUACCCUGGUAGUCCACGCCGUAAACGAUGAGUACUAAGUGUCGGGUAAAACCGGUACUGAAGUUAACACAUUAAGUACUCCGCCUGAGUAGUACGUACGCAAGUAUGAAACUUAAAGGAAUUGACGGGACUCCGCACAAGCGGUGGAUCAUGUUGUUUAAUUCGAAGAUACACGAAAAACCUUACCAGGUCUUGACAUUUUCUUGCGAAGUUAUAGAAAUAUAAUAGAGGUUAUCAGGAAAACAGGUGGUGCAUGGUUGUCGUCAGCUCGUGUCGUGAGAUGUUAGGUUAAGUCCUAAAACGAGCGCAACCCUUGUCGUUAAUUGCCAGCAUGUAAUGAUGGGGACUUUAACGAGACUGCCAAUGAAAAAUUGGAGGAAGGUGGGGAUUACGUCAAAUCAUCAUGCCCCUUAUGAUCUGGGCUACAAACGUGAUACAAUGGUUGAUACAAAGAGUAGCUGAAACGCGAGUUCUUAGCCAAUCUCACAAAAUC
This 1011-nucleotide ribosomal RNA is filed under the name Cassava frogskin disease phytoplasma. RNAcentral describes it as "bacterial SSU rRNA". It matches the Rfam family "Bacterial small subunit ribosomal RNA", at positions 264 to 1283 of the family's 1533-position model. Lineage: Bacteria; Bacillati; Mycoplasmatota; Mollicutes; Acholeplasmatales; Acholeplasmataceae. The record is from RNAcentral.